UUUUUCCACUUAUCAUCAGUCACAUGGAAUAAAAAUCAUAUUAUGUCAGAGUUAGUAGUUUUUGUAUCAGAGGAACAAAAUCGAAAAAUGGGUCAUUUUGUUUUAUGGAGUUUUCAAGCAUUACCCACGUUUUUAUCAAUUCAAGCAUCAUAGCCUUUGUCAUCUACCUCUGCUCCACAAAAUCGAUGAAAGAACAUACCAAAAUUGUGCUAGAUAGAAAGAUAUUUCAUACUAUUUUCAUUUUGUUAUCCUUUUCUUCAAAUAUGUUUAUGAAGCAUUUUGAUUUUCUACUUGAUUUCCUUCCUUUUUUGUCUAUUAAUUUUUGUUUCUUAGUGGUAAAACUUAGAAAUAACAAUCUGAAUAUGGUUAAGGGUUUUAAUCACAAUAAAUUACAGUUUUUCAUAGCGACUUUAAUAUAGUGCACUAUUGUUCAGGUAACAAACCCUAGAUACGAUGUUUAUAUAUAUUCACGUAACUCCUCACUUCAUAGCAGCUCAUCAACAAUGGAUGUGCCACUUCUCACCAAGAAGAUCAUAAAGAAGAGGGUCAAACAUUUCAAAAGACCCCAAAGCGAUCGCAAGAUCUGUGUGAAGGUAUAA
RNAcentral lists this long non-coding RNA (599 nucleotides) under Medicago truncatula (barrel medic). RNAcentral describes it as "lncRNA gene21595". Lineage: Eukaryota; Viridiplantae; Streptophyta; Magnoliopsida; Fabales; Fabaceae. The record is from RNAcentral.